Molecule: non-coding RNA, 199 nt
Filed under: Actinomadura madurae
Lineage: Bacteria; Bacillati; Actinomycetota; Actinomycetes; Streptosporangiales; Thermomonosporaceae
Source: RNAcentral
UGGCAUGAACUGAUGCGGGGUGCCCCAUCUGGGGAGAAUCGGGAAGCCGGUGCGAAUCCGGCACGGGCCCGCCGCGGUGACCGGGGAGCAGCCGCCCACGCGCGUACGAUACGCGCGGCCACUGGCCGGAAGGCCGGGAAGGCGGGCGGUCGAGCGUUGAUCCGGGAGUCCGAAGACCGGCCUCGCUCCACACGGCCGC